RNAcentral lists this ribosomal RNA (698 nucleotides) under uncultured Cytophaga sp. RNAcentral describes it as "bacterial SSU rRNA". It matches the Rfam family "Bacterial small subunit ribosomal RNA", at positions 87 to 781 of the family's 1533-position model. The record is from RNAcentral. Lineage: Bacteria; Pseudomonadati; Bacteroidota; Cytophagia; Cytophagales; Cytophagaceae.
GCUGACGAGUGGCGCACGGGUGCGUAACGCGUAGGCAAUCUACCGUUGACUGGGAGAUAGCCCGGGGAAACCCGGAUUAAUACCCCAUAGUAUUGAGAGAUCACCUGAUCAUUCAAUUAAAGAUUUAUCGGUCAACGAUGAGCCUGCGUCAGAUUAGCUAGUUGGUGCGGUAAUGGCGCACCAAGGCGACGAUCUGUAGGGGGUCUGAGAGGAUGAUCCCCACACUGGUACUGAGAUACGGACCAGACUCCUACGGGAGGCAGCAGUAGGGAAUAUUGGGCAAUGGGUGAGAGCCUGACCCAGCCAUGCCGCGUGCAGGAAGACGGCCCUCUGGGUUGUAAACUGCUUUUAUACAGGAACAAAACGGUCGUGCGCGAUCAAUUGCGUGUACUGUAUGAAUAAGCACCGGCUAACUCCGUGCCAGCAGCCGCGGUAAUACGGAGGGUGCAAGCGUUGUCCGGAUUUAUUGGGUUUAAAGGGUACGUAGGCGGAAUGUUAAGUCCGAGGUGAAAGCCCACCGCUCAACGGUGGAACUGCCUUGGAUACUGACAAUCUUGAGUGCCGUAAAGGUAGGCGGAAUUCAUGGUGUAGCGGUGAAAUGCAUAGAUACCAUGAGGAACACCGAUAGGGGAAGCCAGCUUACUGGACGGUUACUGACGCCUGAGGUACCGAAAGCCGUGGGGAGCGAACAGGAUUAG